Molecule: ribosomal RNA, 230 nt
Filed under: uncultured bacterium
Lineage: Bacteria
Description: partial 16S ribosomal RNA
Rfam family: Bacterial small subunit ribosomal RNA
Source: RNAcentral
UACGUAGGUGGCAAGCGUUGUCCGGAUUUAUUGGGCGUAAAGCGCGCGCAGGCGGUUUCUUAAGUCUGAUGUGAAAGCCCCCGGCUUAACCGGGGAGGGUCAUUGGAAACUGGGAGACUUGAGUGCAGAAGAGGAAAGUGGAAUUCCAAGUGUAGCGGUGAAAUGCGUAGAUAUUGGGAGGAACACCAGUGGCGAAGGCGGCUCACUGGACCGGUACUGACGCUGAGGCA